AGUGGGAUAGCUGGGUCAAAUAGUGGUCAAUUUCAAGUUUUCUGAGGAAAUGCAUACUUCUUUUGAUAGUGUUUGCACCAAUUUGCAGUCCCACCAGCAAU
RNAcentral lists this microRNA precursor (101 nucleotides) under Marmota monax (woodchuck). The record is from RNAcentral. Lineage: Eukaryota; Metazoa; Chordata; Mammalia; Rodentia; Sciuridae.